This 5244-nucleotide long non-coding RNA is filed under the name Sus scrofa (pig). Its description in RNAcentral is "lncRNA (ENSSSCG00005011757.1)". The record is from RNAcentral. Lineage: Eukaryota; Metazoa; Chordata; Mammalia; Artiodactyla; Suidae.
GAGAGCCUGAUUCCUCCGCCUCCUCUGCCUUAGCUGGGCUCCCAGGGACCCCCUCCCCAGGCCCUGAGCUGGCUCUGGGACAGCCUCGGCGCCCCCACGAGCUGCCCCCCUUUCUCUCAUUGCCAGGCCUUCACACCCCCCACCCCUCAAGCACAGGUAGGCUCCGCACCCGGCCCCCGGGUGACUGCGGAGGCCUCCCAGGGAAGGAGGAAGUGCGGAGGGCCUGGUCCCCUUCCCUUCCCCGUUGUCUCCUCCGGGCCCCUCCCUCCCUGCACCCCUCCCCCCACCUCCCCCAACAUGUGACAUAGGAGCAGAGGGUGCAGCUGCCAGGUGCCUCUGGGGGUGGCUGGGAGGAGGCCCGUCAUAGGCAGAACCUGCCUCCUCCCUGUCGGCCUGGCCCCCGGACCCUCAGCAAAGAGGUGCGCUUCUCCAGAUGCGGAGGCUCCGUGGCUCGUCUUCUCACCCGAGUCUGUGACCUGCUGGCCAAUCCAUGACACCCCGUCGUCCAAUAAAGUCCGUGUCGGUGGCUCAUUCCCGCACUUGUUAGUGGUGCUCUUUUCUGUGUCUGGGCUGAUGGAGGACAGUACGGGGCACUGUCUCUGCAACAGCGGGCUCCCCAAGGAGACCUGUCCUUGAAGGACCCAGGCUAUGCCAAGGCCUCCCGGGCUGCUGCUGGGCAGGGCGGGGCGAGGGCAGGGGGAAGGGUCCACUGUGUAAAGCGAGGGGCCAGAGGCCCAGGCCCGGUGGGGUCGUCGGGUCACUGCUCAACCAGGACCUGUUUGGAAAGGCAACAUUUUCCUUCUCCAGACCUCACCUGGUCGAGGCUGGACUGGCCCUGAAGCCCUCCCGGCCCUGACGCCAGACAGUCCUGCCGAAUAAGCCCAUCCGUCUGUAUCCAGACCUGUGCCGGCUCCACUCUCCUGCCAGAGUCAGAUUCUGCAAUGCUGCUUCCUGCCCAGGACCCAGAGUUUCUAAGCAGACGACUCUGAGCUCACAUGGGGCUCCUGGCUCCAGAGGACAGGGGGUUGGGCCAUUUUGAGAAGGACCACGCAGCCCACGAGCCUGCAGAGGAGAGUUCACUGAGAAGGAGGUUUUACUGAGCUGUCCAGCUGAAUAUCUCCUGUGGAUGAGAGAAGGCAGCAGAGCCACCAGCGCGUGCCCUGGUUGGAGGUCCGACCGGACAGCGAGCACCUCCCAGUGCUGCUGGGUCUUGAUGGCCGUGCUUAGAGGUCAACACUCAGAGCCCCCGUGAGUGGCUGACCCUUCCAGCUCAAGUCUCGGACAGUGCCUUCAGGGCAAACUCUGAUCACUCCAAGCCAUCCCCUGAGGCCUCAUGGUUGGGGGUAACUGACCCAAGGGGCCAGCCUCCGUGGACCAGAGGGAUCUAGGUUCCAGUCCAGCUCGGCUGUAUGAUGUCCCCUCACCCCGCAGUGCCAAGUGAAGAGACAUCCCUGAGCUCCUGUGAAGGGCCGGGUGGGCCGUCACGUCCUAUUUGUUCCUGGAGGCAUUUCCAUAGGCUGGUUACUCCCGCUCAUCACAUCAGGCCCCCUGCCCAGGGCAAGCUGGGUCCUAGUGGGAUGUGGCAGAAGGUACUGCCAGCUUCAGCCAAGCCCAGCCUCUAGCCCUGGGCACUGGCCUUAACUUCCAGGCGUGGCGCUACGUACGACACAGCGAAGGGGACCCAGGUGCACAACAGGUGUAUGUAACGUGGUGUGUCCAGCCUGGAGCACAGACGCCCGUCCUUCUCAGAGCUGACCUCAGCUUCUGGUUUAUCACAGCUCUGGCCCCUGGUGGGAGCUGAGGGAUUGCAUUUCUCAGGUCGUGCUCAGGAUAAGCCACACUUCUGGAACGGGGGUUAUAGGCUCAGUGCGCAGCCUCAGUAAGUGGGCACCCCUAGUGACAGCUUUCAGAGGGUGAAAGCCUGUGCCUCUUUGCUAACUCAGCAAAUAGCAGCAGCCUCUAAAUUGCUUUUUUAGUAAAGCUGGGUUCGCUUUCUCCAGCCCAGCUAGCCAAUCACGUCUACUUCCUCACAUGCCGAGCUCAUUCAAAACCACUAAGCAUUUAGUGCACCUACUGUGUGCGGGCACUGUGACAUGUGAGAAAGGAUCAGGAGGGGAGAGGCAUAGAAAAAAAUGCUGGUCAGCCCUUCCAGUCUAGAAGCUCCCCAUGGCACUGGGCAUCAGUCAGCUUGGUGAAGAAGCUCAUACAAGGAGCCACACAAGCUCGUGAAUAAUGCAGUGCAAAGCAGAGGCAAGUGAUGGAGUUCCCGCUGUCGCUCAGUGGGUUAAGAACCUGACUAGUAUCCAUGAGGAUGCGGGUUAGAUACCUGGUCUCAGUUAAGGAUCCGGCGUUGCUACAAGCUGCAGCUUGGAUCCCAUGUUGCUGUGUUGCUGUGGUGUAGGCUACAGCAACCGCAGCUCCGAUUUGACCCCUCGUCUGGGAACUUCUAUAUGCCAUAGGUACGGCCCUACAAAGAAAAAAAAAGGCAGAGGCAGGGAAGGAUAGUGUAGGACACACAGCUCUGGUGCUCAAAGGACAUGGGACAGGAGAUAUCAGGCCAGCAUGGCCAAGGGAUAUUUCCUGAGCACCUCCUGGGUGCAGUGCCUGUUCUAGGCAUGGUGGAGGGCAAAAAUAGGAAAAGUGCCACCAGAGCCAGAUUUGCCAUGAACGUGCCACGCCCCUAGGUCCUGUUCCGUUCUUUGGGCCUCCUGCCCACACAGCAGACACAACUCCUCCCAUGCAGCCACCCCUGUCCACCACCCCCCCAGCGCACACAGUGUACACGCAACCUGAGCCCGGCUCCUGGUCCCUGCGUUCAUUUCCUAGGGCAGCCGCAGCAAGUACCAAAAACCAGGAGGCUUUAAAUAGCAGGAAGUUACUCCCUCCCAGUUCUGGAGGCCAGAAGUCCCUCUGAUGGUUGCGGGCAAUCCAUGCGGUCCCUGGGCUUGCAGCCGCAUCGCUCCAGCCUCCACCUCCGUCUUCGCCCGGCCUCCUUCCUGGGCCUCUGUCUUCACGUGGGCCUCUCCUCUGGGUCUUCUCUGGGUCUGUGUCCAGUUUCCCUGUCUUGUAAGGAAACCAGUUGUUGGGAUAGGACCUCGUUUUACCUUAAUUACAUCUCAAAACCCUGUCUCCUUUACACUAAGGUCCUGUUCACAGGUUCAUGGGGAUAGGAAUUUGGGGCAGGGUGGGUGGGGGACACUGUUGCAGCCAGUGCCGUCCCUGAGGGUCUGGUACCUUUCAGGAGGCUGAGGUACUUGAGUGAAGAAGUCAUGACUUCCUACCUCCCGUAUCAGCUUCUGGGCCUGUCAGAUACCAUCUGGUACCAAGUGGUCUUGGGCCCUUGUGAUCACACAAAAUUUGGGAGAAAUCACCCUGCCGGUGACAAGAGUACAGAGACUUUGCACACGGCUUGUGUCCAAGAGUGGGAGUGGGACACGCCGAGCAUGUGACUUGUGGGGCCCCAGGGCCUGACCCAUGUGGCCAGCGUGUGGCCUGGCCCCCCCACAGGGCCAUCAUACCCAGGGCAAUGGCAGGCCCCAAAGGGGUCUGCAUAUCUCCUGUUCCAAGCUGAGGCAGGUGGCAUCCCGUCCCAUCCUAUCCAAGCCGUGGUCUCCGUGAUGUCCCUGCGUGCUCUGGGCAUGUUUCAGCCCCGCCCUGUGGUCCCCACUCCCUGUCUGAGUCGGGGAGGGAGCUGGGACAGAAAUACCUUUGUUGGACGCUUGCCAGGCGCCACGGUUAGAUUUCACUCACUGCAGCUGCCACCAGAAAUAUGGAAAGCUCUUCUCUUCAAAUCUUGACAGGAGCGACUCUACAGCAAUGCAUGGCACCAGCUGGAGGGUCAGUGACACUUCGAGCUGUCCCCGGGGUGGCCCUGCCCUGGAGAAGGUCUGUCUGGAAGGGCCUGGUGGUUUUCCAGGCGUCAGGCCUCUGAGGAGGUUGGAGAAGAUUCGCCAAAGCUGGCGAUGGACAGGCUUCCAGAGUGUGAGGGCUGCCGGCGGACUCCCGGGUGCCGAGGGCCCUCUGCCCCGGCCUUCUCAAGUGGGCUUUCUUCCCUUGGCAGGAUUGCUCUUGGCUUCUCCACCUGUGUGUUUCUGUUUUUCCUUUUGGUUUAAUAGCCACUUUGCUCAUUUCCCCCUCAGAAGUGUUCUCGGUCCCAGAGGGCAAUUUUUUUAGGUUAGAAAGUAGAACAGCUAACUUCUUGUCCACCUGUUUCUCAGACACCAGGAGUAGCAAAGAGGCUCAGCCUGACCCAGUGCUGCCCUGAAGGCUCCUUUUACUGCCCAGACAGUCUAGGGUUCCAGUCAGGCUUGGCCUGGUAUAUGGGUGGCCCUAGGAUGGGAACCCUGGCCCCACAGACUAUAUAAAAUAGGAAUGGAAAAUGCUGCAACACAUUUGGGGAAAAGCUUGGCAGUUUUUUUAAAAGUUGAACAUAAAUUUACAAGACACCCCAACACUUCCACUUCUAGGAAUAGACCCAAAGGGAAAGGAAAACCUAUGACCACACAAAGACUCGUGCACAAAUACCCACAGCAGCUUUAUUCGCCAUGGCCAGAAAGUGGGAGCAGACACCAAGUCCAUCAGCCAAUGAAUGGAUAAGUAAAAUUGGGACAGGGAGUUCCCGUUGUGGCUCAGUGGAGACAAACCCAACUAGUAUCCUUGAGGAUGCAGGUUCAAUCCUUGGCCUCGCUCAGUGGGUUAAGGAUCUGGCGUUGCCGAGAGCUGUGGUAUAGGUCGAAGACAUGGCUUGGAUCCGAAGCAUAGUCCAUCAGCUGCAGCUCUGAUUCCAUUCCUAACCUGGGAACUUCUAUAUGCCUCGGAUGCAGCCCUCGAAAAUAAAUAAAUAAAUAAAUAAAUAAAAUUGGGACAGGCACACAAUGGAACAUGAUUCAGCAACAAAAAAGAAUGAAGUGCUGACACAUGCCACAACACGAAUCAACCCCAAAACCAUUACACUGAGAGAAGCUAGACGCCAAAGACCACAUACUCUCUGACUCUGAUCUGAAAGUUCCAGCAGACAGAUCUACAGAGACAGAAAGUAGUAGUAGCUGCCUUCGGCCGGAGGUGGCAAGUGGAUUUUAGGGGGGUAGGGGGGAAUGAGGAAGUGUUCGAAAUGUUCCAAAACUGGUUUAUCGUAAUGAUUGCACAAUUCUGUACGUUUACUGAAAUCAUUUAAUUAUACACUUGAUGCGGGUGAAUUCUUAAAUUAUACCAUUAAAUUACACCUCAAUAAAACCGUUAAGGAAA